Molecule: ribosomal RNA, 765 nt
Filed under: uncultured Streptococcus sp.
Lineage: Bacteria; Bacillati; Bacillota; Bacilli; Lactobacillales; Streptococcaceae
Description: bacterial SSU rRNA
Rfam family: Bacterial small subunit ribosomal RNA
Source: RNAcentral
GACGAACGCUGGCGGCGUGCCUAAUACAUGCAAGUAGAACGCUGAAGAGAGGAGCUUGCUCUUCUUGGAAGAGUUGCGAACGGGUGAGUAACGCGUAGGUAACCUGCCUUGUAGCGGGGGAUAACUAUUGGAAACGAUAGCUAAUACCGCAUAACAAUGGGUGACCCAUGUCAUUCAUUUGAAAGGGGCAACUGCUCCACUACAAGAUGGACCUGCGUUGUAUUAGCUAGUAGGUGAGGUAACGGCUCACCUAGGCGACGAUACAUAGCCGACCUGAGAGGGUGAUCGGCCACACUGGGACUGAGACACGGCCCAGACUCCUACGGGAGGCAGCAGUAGGGAAUCUUCGGCAAUGGGGGCAACCCUGACCGAGCAACGCCGCGUGAGUGAAGAAGGUUUUCGGAUCGUAAAGCUCUGUUGUAAGUCAAGAACGAGUGUGAGAGUGGAAAGUUCACACUGUGACGGUAGCUUACCAGAAAGGGACGGCUAACUACGUGCCAGCAGCCGCGGUAAUACGUAGGUCCCGAGCGUUGUCCGGAUUUAUUGGGCGUAAAGCGAGCGCAGGCGGUUUGAUAAGUCUGAAGUUAAAGGCUGUGGCUCAACCAUAGUUCGCUUUGGAAACUGUCAAACUUGAGUGCAGAAGGGGAGAGUGGAAUUCCAUGUGUAGCGGUGAAAUGCGUAGAUAUAUGGAGGAACACCGGUGGCGAAAGCGGCUCUCCGGUCUGUAACUGACGCUGAGGCUCGAAAGCGUGGGGAGCGAACAGG